AACGCGAAGAACCUUACCUGGGCUCGAAGUGCUACGGACCAGCUUAUGAAAGUAGGCCUUCCCUUAAAAGACCGUAGUAUAGGUGCUGCAUGGCUGUCGUCAGCUCGUGUCGUGAGAUGUUGGGUUAAGUCCCGCAACGAGCGCAACCCUUGUCCUGUGUUGCCAUACCGAAAGGUGGAACUCGCAGGAGACCGCCAGGGAUAACCUGGAGGAAGGUGGGGAUGACGUCAAGUCCUCAUGGCCUUUAUGUCCAGGGCUACACACGUGCUACAAUGGACGGUACAAAGGGCUGCCAACCCGCGAGGGGGAGCCAAUCCCAAAAAACCGUUCUCAGUUCGGAUUGCAGGCUGCAACUCGCCUGCAUGAAGCUGGAAUCGCUAGUAAUGGCGGAUCAGAACGCCGCCGUGAAUACGUUCCCGGGCCUUGUA
Molecule: ribosomal RNA, 428 nt
Filed under: uncultured Acidobacterium sp.
Lineage: Bacteria; Pseudomonadati; Acidobacteriota; Terriglobia; Terriglobales; Acidobacteriaceae
Description: bacterial SSU rRNA
Rfam family: Bacterial small subunit ribosomal RNA
Source: RNAcentral